Molecule: ribosomal RNA, 253 nt
Filed under: uncultured bacterium
Lineage: Bacteria
Description: partial 16S ribosomal RNA
Rfam family: Bacterial small subunit ribosomal RNA
Source: RNAcentral
UACGGGGGGGGCAAGCGUUGUUCGGAAUUACUGGGCGUAAAGGGCUCGUAGGUGGCCAACUAAGUCAGACGUGAAAUCCCCAGGCUUAACCUGGGAACUGCGUCUGAUACUGGAUGGCUUGAAUUCGGGAGAGGGAUGCAGAAUUCCAGGUGUAGCGGUGAGAUGCGUAGAUAUCUGGAGGAAUACCGGUGGCGAAGGCGGCAUCCUGGACCGAGAUUGACACUGAUGAGCGAAAGCUAGGGGAGCAAACGGG